GAUGAACGCUGGCGGCGUGCCUAAUACAUGCAAGUCGAGCGAACGGACGAGAAGCUUGCUUCUCUGAUGUUAGCGGCGGACGGGUGAGUAACACGUGGAUAACCUACCUAUAAGACUGGGAUAACUUCGGGAAACCGGAGCUAAUACCGGAUAAUAUUUUGAACCGCAUGGUUCAAAAGUGAAAGACGGUCUUGCUGUCACUUAUAGAUGGAUCCGCGCUGCAUUAGCUAGUUGGUAAGGUAACGGCUUACCAAGGCAACGAUGCAUAGCCGACCUGAGAGGGUGAUCCGCCACACUGGAACUGAGACACGGUCCAGACUCCUACGGGAAGCAGCAGUAGGGAAUCUUCCGCAAUGGGCGAAAGCCUGACGGAGCAACGCCGCGUGAGUGAUGAAGGUCUUCGGAUCGUAAAACUCUGUUAUUAGGGAAGAACAUAUGUGUAAGUAACUGUGCACAUCUUGACGGUACCUAAUCAGAAAGCCACGGCUAACUACGUG
Molecule: ribosomal RNA, 497 nt
Filed under: uncultured bacterium
Lineage: Bacteria
Description: partial 16S ribosomal RNA
Rfam family: Bacterial small subunit ribosomal RNA
Source: RNAcentral